UACGUAGGUGGCAAGCGUUGUCCGGAUUUACUGGGCGUAAAGGAUGUGUAGGCGGAUAUUUAAGUCAGUUGUGAAAUACCCGAGCUUAACUUGGGUGCUGCAUUUGAAACUGGAUAUCUAGAGGGUGGGAGAGGUAAGCGGAAUUCCUGGUGUAGCGGUGAAAUGCGUAGAUAUCAGGAGGAACACCUGUGGUGUAGACAGCUUACUGGACCACUUCUGACGCUGAGACACGAAAGCGUGGGUAGCAAACAGG
RNAcentral lists this ribosomal RNA (253 nucleotides) under uncultured bacterium. Its description in RNAcentral is "partial 16S ribosomal RNA". It matches the Rfam family "Bacterial small subunit ribosomal RNA", at positions 524 to 776 of the family's 1533-position model. The record is from RNAcentral.